UACGUAGGGGGCAAGCGUUAUCCGGAUUUACUGGGUGUAAAGGGAGCGUAGACGGCAGCGCAAGUCUGGAGUGAAAUCCCAUGGCUUAACCAUGGAACUGCUUUGGAAACUGUGCAGCUGGAGUGCAGGAGAGGUAAGCGGAAUUCCUAGUGUAGCGGUGAAAUGCAUAGAUAUAACUUAGAACACCGAUAGCGAAGGCAGCUUACCAGACUGAGUCUGACGCUGAUGCACGAGAGCAUGGGUAGCGAACAGG
This 253-nucleotide ribosomal RNA is filed under the name uncultured Eubacteriales bacterium. RNAcentral describes it as "uncultured Clostridiales bacterium partial 16S ribosomal RNA". It matches the Rfam family "Bacterial small subunit ribosomal RNA", at positions 524 to 776 of the family's 1533-position model. The record is from RNAcentral. Lineage: Bacteria; Bacillati; Bacillota; Clostridia; Eubacteriales.